GACGAACGCUGGCGGCGUGCUUAACACAUGCAAGUCGAACGGAAAGGCCCUUCGGGGUACUCGAGUGGCGAACGGGUGAGUAACACGUGGGUGAUCUGCCCUGCACUUUGGGAUAAGCCUGGGAAACUGGGUCUAAUACCGAAUAGGACCACGCGCUUCAUGGUGUGUGGUGGAAAGCUUUUGCGGUGUGGGAUGGGCCCGCGGCCUAUCAGCUUGUUGGUGGGGUAAUGGCCUACCAAGGCGACGACGGGUAGCCGGCCUGAGAGGGUGACCGGCCACACUGGGACUGAGAUACGGCCCAGACUCCUACGGGAGGCAGCAGUGGGGAAUAUUGCACAAUGGGCGCAAGCCUGAUGCAGCGACGCCGCGUGAGGGAUAACGGCCUUCGGGUUGUAAACCUCUUUCAAUAGGGACGAAGCGCAAGUGACGGUACCUAUAGAAGAAGCACCGGCCAACUACGUG
RNAcentral lists this ribosomal RNA (462 nucleotides) under uncultured bacterium. RNAcentral's name for it is "partial 16S ribosomal RNA". It matches the Rfam family "Bacterial small subunit ribosomal RNA", at positions 28 to 507 of the family's 1533-position model. The record is from RNAcentral.